AAGAACUGGGCAAAUUUAAAAUGCUCUUCUGUCAUUGUAAUAGUUCAUAUGGGCACUAACAGGAGAGCAUUUUAAUUUUGUCAAGUGUGUCUG
RNAcentral lists this microRNA precursor (93 nucleotides) under Microcebus murinus (gray mouse lemur). RNAcentral's name for it is "miRNA (ENSMICG00000037751.2)". The stretch from base 5 to 86 matches the Rfam family "mir-3660 microRNA precursor family". The record is from RNAcentral. Lineage: Eukaryota; Metazoa; Chordata; Mammalia; Primates; Cheirogaleidae.